CACUUGCGGUAAUUCCAGCUCCAAUAGCGUAUACUAAAGUUGUUGCAGUUAAAACGCUCGUAGUCGGAUUUCGGGGCGGGCCCGCCGGUCUGCCGAUGGGUAUGCACUGGCGGGAGACGGGAUAUUUACUUUGAAAAAAUCAGAGUGUUUCAAGCAGGCAGUCGCUCUUGCAUGGAUUAGCAUGGGAUAAUGAAAUAGGACUCUGGUGCUAUUUUGUUGGUUUCGAGCACCGGAGUAAUGAUUAACAGGGACAGUCAGGGGCACUCGUAUUCCGCCGAGAGAGGUGAAAUUCUCAGACCAGCGGAAGACGAACCACUGCGAAAGCAUUUGCCAGGGAUGUUUUCACUGAUC
RNAcentral lists this ribosomal RNA (351 nucleotides) under Isochrysidales sp. Its description in RNAcentral is "SSU rRNA". It matches the Rfam family "Eukaryotic small subunit ribosomal RNA", at positions 571 to 978 of the family's 1831-position model. The record is from RNAcentral. Lineage: Eukaryota; Haptophyta; Isochrysidales.